RNAcentral lists this ribosomal RNA (391 nucleotides) under uncultured bacterium. RNAcentral's name for it is "bacterial SSU rRNA". It matches the Rfam family "Bacterial small subunit ribosomal RNA", at positions 28 to 419 of the family's 1533-position model. The record is from RNAcentral.
GACGAACGCUGGCGGCGUGCUUAACACAUGCAAGUCGAGCGGUAAGGCCCUUUCGGGGGUACACGAGCGGCGAACGGGUGAGUAACACGUGGGUGACCUGCCCUCAGCUCUGGGAUAAGCCUGGGAAACUGGGUCUAAUACUGGAUAUGACUCCACGGUGCAUGUCGUGGGGUGGAAAGCCUUGUGCGGCUGAGGAUGGGCCCGCGGCCUAUCAGCUUGUUGGUGGGGUGANGGCCUACCAAGGCGACGACGGGUAGCCGGCCUGAGAGGGCGACCGGCCACACUGGGACUGAGACACGGCCCAGACUCCUACGGGAGGCAGCAGUGGGGAAUCUUGCGCAAGUGGGCGAAAGCCUGACGCAGCGACGCCGCGUGAGGGAUGACGGCCUGG